CCUGCCCAGUGACCCUUAAACAACAUAAGACAAAAUCUUAUUAAUAGGUUUAAAAGGACGCGGUAACCUUGACCGUGAUAAUGUAGCGUAAUCACUCGCCCUUUAAUUGAUGGAUAGUAUGAAUGGUUGAACGAAUAUUCCACUGUCUUAGAAAGAAUUAAUAAAAAUUGAAAUAAUAGUUAAGAUGCUAUUUAAAACUGUAAGACGAAAAGACCCUAUAGAGCUUAACUAUAAACUUCUUAGACCUCAAAGAAAAGUAGUUCACAAAUUAAGAAGUUUGGUAGUUUAGUUGGGGCGACUAUCUUCUAAAAAUAACGAAGAUAAGCAAUAUUAAUGAUUAAUUUAUUGUAUAACAAAAAAGUUUAACAAGUAUUAAAAUAGGCUAUAAUGACCCGUUUUUACCUUAUAAAAAGAAAAACGAUCAAUUGAUAAAAGCUACCUUAGGGAUAACAGGAUAAUUUUAUUUUAGAGUUCCCAUCGA
Molecule: ribosomal RNA, 481 nt
Filed under: Sugiura chengshanense
Lineage: Eukaryota; Metazoa; Cnidaria; Hydrozoa; Leptothecata; Sugiuridae
Description: partial 16S ribosomal RNA
Rfam family: Bacterial large subunit ribosomal RNA
Source: RNAcentral